Molecule: ribosomal RNA, 529 nt
Filed under: uncultured bacterium
Lineage: Bacteria
Description: bacterial SSU rRNA
Rfam family: Archaeal small subunit ribosomal RNA
Source: RNAcentral
CGGGUCCAAGUCGCAGCCAUCAUUAUUGGGUCUAAAACAUCCGUAGCUUGCUUAAUAAGUUCCUUGUGAAAUCUCAUCUCUUAAGGAUGAGGCGUGCAAGGAGUACUGCUAAGCUAGAGACUGGAAGACGUAGAAAGUAUGUAUAAAGUAGCGGUAAAAUGUGUUAAUCUUAUGCAGACUCACAACAGCGAAGGCAUUCUACGAGGACAGUUCUGACAGUAAAGGAUGAAGGCUAGGGGCGCAAAAUGGAUUAGAUACCCAUGUAGUCCUAGCAGUAAACACUGCACACUAAACAUUAGUACCUCUUCGAGAGGUAUUAGUGCUGUAGAGAAGUCGAGAGUGUGCUACCUGGGAAGUAUAGCCGCAAGGCCGAAACUUAAAGGAAUUGGCGGGGAGACACUACAACAGGUGACGCGUGCGGUUCAAUUAGAUUCUACACCGUGAACCUCACCAGGAGCGACAGCAGGAUGAAGGUCAGUCUGAAGGGCUUACCUGACACGCUGAGAAGAAUUUGCAUGGCCGACGUCAG